RNAcentral lists this long non-coding RNA (311 nucleotides) under Astyanax mexicanus (Mexican tetra). Its description in RNAcentral is "lncRNA (ENSAMXG00005000322.1)". Lineage: Eukaryota; Metazoa; Chordata; Actinopteri; Characiformes; Acestrorhamphidae. The record is from RNAcentral.
GGAAAAGACAGAUGGCAGAGGAAAACUGGGGACUUAAACACAAUGAUACAAGUCCCUGGAUACCUGAAUCUGUGGAGGGAGUUUUGGUCUUUAUCUCUGGUUUUCCUGAUAAUAUGGAUUCUGAAGAUGGCUUUAUCCAGAUAGCGGCUCCUCAUGGUAUCCCCACUAACAUUGUUAUUGCAGCUGCUCAGAGAAAGGCUUUGGUGGAGCUUCCUGAUAAGGACUCUGCCAAAAAGAUGGUCAUGGCUUAUAAUGCAAUCCCAGUGGGUUUAAAACAACUAGACAUGAAACUCCUGCCCAAAACAGUGGAU